AUAGUGACGGCCUGUGAAAGCAGGUUUCUUUUCGGAGACACUAUAACAGGUGGUGCAUGGCUGUCGUCAGCUCGUGUCGUGAGAUGUUGGGUUAAGUCCGCAACGAGCGCAACCCUUUCCUUAGUUGCCAUCAGGUAAUGCUGGGGACUCUAAGGAUACUGCCCGGUUAACGGGGAGGAAGGUGGGGAUGACGUCAAGUCAGUAUGUCCCUUACGUCCAGGGCUACACACGUGUUACAAUGGCCGGUACAAUGAGUUGCGACCCUGCAAAGGUAAGCCAAUCUCAAAAAACCGGUCUCAGUUCGGAUUGCAGUCUGCAACUCGACUGCAUGAAGUUGGAAUCGCUAGUAAUCGUAGAUCAGCACGCUACGGUGAAUACGUUCCCGGGCCUU
This 391-nucleotide ribosomal RNA is filed under the name uncultured Fidelibacterota bacterium. RNAcentral describes it as "bacterial SSU rRNA". It matches the Rfam family "Bacterial small subunit ribosomal RNA", at positions 988 to 1382 of the family's 1533-position model. The record is from RNAcentral. Lineage: Bacteria; Pseudomonadati; Fidelibacterota.